UACGUAGGUGGCAAGCGUUGUCCGGAUUUACUGGGCGUAAAGGGCGUGCAGGCGGUCUGUUAAGUCUAGGGUGAAAGCUCCCGGCUCAACUGGGAGAGGUCCUUGGAUACUGGCGGACUUGAGGGAGGCAGAGGAGUAUGGAAUUCCCGGUGUAGUGGUGAUAUGCGUAGAUAUCGGGAGGAACACCAGUGGCGAAGGCGGUACUCUGGGCCGGUACUGACGCUGAGGAGCGAAAGCAUGGGGAGCGAACAGG
RNAcentral lists this ribosomal RNA (253 nucleotides) under uncultured bacterium. RNAcentral describes it as "partial 16S ribosomal RNA". It matches the Rfam family "Bacterial small subunit ribosomal RNA", at positions 524 to 776 of the family's 1533-position model. The record is from RNAcentral.